This is a non-coding RNA of Nelumbo nucifera (sacred lotus), 4456 nucleotides long. Lineage: Eukaryota; Viridiplantae; Streptophyta; Magnoliopsida; Proteales; Nelumbonaceae. The record is from RefSeq and is a predicted model, not a curated record.
UGCACACGCUUGUGAGAAAAUAGGGGAUCUUUGAUACAAACUCGCAAAUGGUUCGAGCCUAACCCUGAGCUCUGCCAUUGUCGACUUCUUUUUCUUCGUUCUUGCUCUGCCAUUGUCGACCUGUGUACACAUCUCUCUUCUUCUUCGUCUUCUUGCUCUGCCAUUGUCGACCUGCGUAUACCAUCAAAGGUGACUUGCUACGAUCGAAGGUUUGAAGACUUGCGAACAAACAGCUUUGUAUUACGACCAUUUGCAUAUUUUUUGGGUUCAUUUACCACAGGUCACUCCUAUCACUGCAAGUAAUUCCAUACUUGUAUUAUUUGCUUAUUUAACACAAAAUUUAAAAUGAUUCUAGCACUUUGAUAGUAACUAAUGAUCUGAUUAUUAUAUAGAUGGCAAAUAGUGUAGUCAAUACCACAUCAUUUGACGAUGGACCCAUUAUUAAUGCAAAUUGGACUCUUGCGCAAGAAAAUAUUUUCAUAGAUUUACUAGUACUUCAAGUAGAGUGGGGGAAUGGUUUCUGGGUGUCUGAAACCAAGUGGUUGGAAGGAGGUUCAACAAAGUUUUUUUGCACAAGUUGGGUUGAAGUUCAACACUAAAUCCUUCAGUAACAAAAUACAAGAUCUAAAAAGUAGGUAUAAGGAGUUUAGGAAAUUAAGAUUCGAACAAACGGGAUUUGGUUGGGACAAGGAGAAGCAUAUGGUUGUAGCCUCCCCAGAGACAUGGGAGAAUUAUUUAUUGGUAUUUUCUGAACUUUGAAGUUAUUUAGAGAUCAUAUUUGUUUGGGACUUUAUAUGUAUGUAAAUGUAUAUAUUGAUUGGUGUCCCCUUAUCUUUUUAGGUUAAUCUCAAGGCAAAAAGUUUUCGUAAUAUGGGUUGUCCAGAGUAUAACAACCUUGAAAUUAUAUUUGGGGGUACCACACCUACAGGAAGGUUCUUUGCAUCUCUGGCACAUGGAAUAGAAUCUCCACCCUAGGAGGACGGGCAUGCCCCCCAAUGAUCCACACCUUGAAGAAGUUCAACAACCAUCACUUGGCAUUGUUGAUUCAGCCAAUAUUGAUGGUGAUCAAAUUUCUACUACAACCAUAAAGCAAAAUGCUUGUAGGAAGAAGCCAUCUGAAUUUUUUGUUGCAAUUUCAGAACAAAAUGUGUCAGUAGAUAAGAGAUUUGAGAAGUUGGUGGAAGCAUUUAAGGGACUGAAUAAAAAGCCGGAGAAUCAUGUCUCUAUGAGCAAUGUUUUAGCAGAGUUGAAUUCUAUUGAAGGGAUGAAUCAUAAUGACUACCUAAAACUUUAUUAAGUGUUUGAGAAGCCAGAUGCAAGAGAGUGGUUCAUAAACAUGCAUGUUAUUCUUAGGAAGAAUUGGGUGUUUGGUGUCUUUAAUUGUUAGAUUCGUGAAUGUUAUGUUCUCAUCUAUGAACCCUUUCUUUUAAUGUUUUAGGUGAACAAUUGUUUAUAAUUGUUAUAACUUCUUAAACUACUUCACAGGUGUAGGAUUGAAUAAUGGUUUCAGUAGAUACAAUUCAUAUGGUAUUAUAUGGUUUUGUGGAUUGCUUAUUGAUUAUUGUUUGGAUGGUUUAAUGAAUAGGGUAGCACAUUUGGUCCUUAAUUUAUGAAGUGCAGGUUUGCAAUUAAUUAAAUAUAAAGCUUUAUGUGUAUAUGUAAUUGUUGUGUCAGAUUUACAAUGGUUGAUAGUUCGACCAAGAGGGUAGUGUUGCAAGCAAUUUUGGCCGUUUUUGUAGAUGAUGAAGAGCAGCGAAUGGUGACAAAUGUCCUCAUUGUGAAGGAACUUGAGAAGGAAGAAAUGUAUCUCUCCAAGACACCUUACCACAAUGACAUUUUGAUCGGGUCAGAGUUGUUGAAAAAUGUUAUAUGCAAUGAAGGUAAUAAGUGUUUGGAAAUGUUUGGAAUGACCAUAAAAGCAUUUGUUAGCCUAGUAAGUGCAUUGAGACAAAGAGGGUUAGUGAAAGAUAGUAGAUAUGUAUCAGCUGAUGAGCAGGUUGGAAUUCUUUUAAAGAUUAUAGGACACAACAAAGCAAAUAAAGAUACUGCAUACCACUUUCAACACUUUGGGAAAACCAUUUCACGACACUUUAAUUCCGCAUUGAAAGCAACUUGUGAAUUUGGCAAGGAAAUUGUACGAUCUGAUGAUCUAACUAUUGUACCACCUGAGAUACUCAACAAUCCAAAAUAUUAUCCAUGGUUCGAGGUAUCUCAUACUAUAUGAUAGGAGGGUGCUGCACAUGAUUCAAGAGUUUUUUUGGAGACAGUUCAAAACCCCGAUAAUAUGUUCCCGCUACCACCAGAAGGAAAAUAUUACGUAAUUGACUCGGAUUAUACAAAUAUGCUUGGAUCUCUGUCUCUAUAUGGAUCAGAGAGAUACCAUUUAAGGGACUUUCAAGGAAGAGGUGGUCGACCAAAGAAUGCCGAAGAAUAAUUAUGUUCAUUCUUCAUUGAGGAAUGUCAUAGAGCGUUGCUUCGAUGCUCUUAAGGCAAAAUUCCCAAUACUAAAGUUGAUGCUUCCAUACUCACUUCACAAGCAAAUCAGAAUUGUAUUUGCUUGUUGUGUGUUACAUAAUUUCAUUCGAUUAUCGAGAAUCCAAGAUGUGUUUUGGAAUGGUUUCUUUCAAGAUGGUGUUCAUUCAUGUGCUUGUUGGAAAUUUCACAAUUCAUUUGUUAGGAUAUAUACAACUUUAUUGUGAUGUGAUGUUCAAUUGUUUUGUUAUUUAGUCAUAGCAACAAAUCGAAGGGGACCGAUGUGUCCAUGUGGGCGUGGAUGUAUAAAAUUGUGGAUGGCAAAAAUCGAAAAAAAUUACGGAAGAUGAUUUUAUAAAUGUCCAACUGGAGAGGUAUAAGUCCAAUACCCAAAAACCAUAUUGAUCAAUAUUUGUGUUUAAUAUAAAUUGAAAAUUAUUAACAUUUUUUUCUUCCAGCCACAUGAAUAUGACUUCAUGUGGGCAGAUAACUACACUCUGGAAGAAUAAAAAAUCCACAUCUUUGAACAACAUAAUAAUGCUCAUGAACAUGCAAAUUAUAAGAAAGAGCGGGUUGUUGCAAUUGGGGCUUGUGUUUGUUGUUGUGCCAUGAUGUGUUUGAUCAUUUUUUUUUUAUAAUUUUGAUUUUCAUUUUGUUAGUUUGGAGGUAGGAUAGAUACCACUAGAAGUAUGGUUAGUAUGUCCCUAUCAUGAAUUGGUGUAUGGUUUUUCCAUUUUGGAUAUGCUUUGUAGUUGCGUAAUACUAAAGUUGUAUUUAUGUUAUUAACAUGUACAAAAAAUUUGAAUGUGUAAGUGGGCCCGACCAAUGGUAUAUACAUAUGGGGCCCACAUUAUGUAUUAUGCAUAUGUUGAAAUGUAUGUGGGGCUCACAUUGAAAAAAUAUUUAUGAACUCCAUAAUAAAGGGUGUACAUAGUUGAAAUUGCAUGUGAGACCCACAUUAAUGCAUUAUGCAUAUGUUGAAAUGUAUGUGGGGCCCACAUUGAAAAAUAUUUAUGAACUCUAUAAUAAAGGGUGUACAUAGUUGGAAUUGCAUGUGGGACCCACAUUAAUGCAUUUUGCAUAUGUUGAAUUGUAUGUGGGGCCCACAUUGAAAAAAAUAUUUAUGAACUCCAUAAUGAAAGGUGUACAUAGUUGGAAUUGCAUGUGGGGCCCACAUUAAUGCAUUAUGCAUAUGUACACAUGUAUAUGAGGCCCACCUUAAAAAAUAUGUAUAGGCUUCAAAAUGAAUGAUAUGCAUAAGUGGACUUACAUGUGGGGCCCACAUUAAUGCAUUAUGCAUAUGUUGAAAUGUACAUGGGGCCCACAUUGAAAAAAUAUUUAUGGACUCCAUUAUGAAGGGUGUACAUAGUUGGAAUUGCAUGUAGGGCCCAUAUUAGUGCAUCAUGCAUAUGUUGAAAUGUAUGUGGGGCCCACAUUGAAAAAAUAUUUAUGAUCUCCAUAAUGAACGGUGUGCAUAGCUGGAAUUGUGUGUGGGGCCAACAUAAAUGCAUUAUGCAUAUGUUGAAAUGUAUGUGGGGUCCAUCUUGAAAAAAUAUUUGUGGACCCCAUAGUGAAGGAUAUACAUAUGUGGACUUAAUGUGGGGCUUGUUUAUGGUAAGUGCAUGGGGGCCCACAAUUAUGAAAUGUAUGUUUAGACCUAUAUGUGGGUCCCACAUGUGUUAAAUGAAUGGUUUGUUGGCCCAUACAUGAGGCAUUCAUAUAUACAUAACACAUAUUUUCAUCACAUUACCAAAUGGUCUUCCAGCUUUGAUGGUCUUUCCGGAGAUCUAUGAAAAAUGUUUCAACCAAACAGUCUUCCAGUUUUGAUGGUCUUUCCGGAGAUCUAUGAAAAAUGUUUCAACCAAACAGUCUUUGGUUUUCCAAUUGAGCUUGAUUUGUGUGCAUAAUUUACAUGUAAAUUCUGGUGUUUAUGCAUGAUUUUGAUGCUGAUUUGUGUGAAUUCUUACCCCAAUUGAACUUGAUU